AGUGAACGCUGGCGGUAGGCCUAACACAUGCAAGUCGAACGGCAGCACAGUAAGAGCUUGCUCUUACGGGUGGCGAGUGGCGGACGGGUGAGGAAUACAUCGGAAUCUACUUUUUCGUGGGGGAUAACGUAGGGAAACUUACGCUAAUACCUCAUACGACCUACGGGUGAAAGCAGGGGAUCUUCGGACCUUGCGCGAUUGAAUGAGCCGAUGUCGGAUUAGCUAGUUGGCGGGGUAAAGGCCCACCAAGGCGACGAUCCGUAGCUGGUCUGAGAGGAUGAUCCGCCACACUGGCACUGAGACACGGUCCAGACUCCUACGGGAGGCCGCAGUGGGGUAUAUUGGACAAUGGGCGCAAGCCUGAUCCAGCCAUACCGCGUGGGUGAAGAAGGCCUUCGGGUUGUAAAGCCCUUUGUUGGGAAAGACAAGCAGCAGGUUAAUACCCCGCUGUUCUGACGGUACCCAAAGAAUAAGCACCGGCUACCUUCGU
RNAcentral lists this ribosomal RNA (490 nucleotides) under uncultured bacterium. RNAcentral describes it as "partial 16S ribosomal RNA". It matches the Rfam family "Bacterial small subunit ribosomal RNA", at positions 29 to 506 of the family's 1533-position model. The record is from RNAcentral.